RNAcentral lists this ribosomal RNA (492 nucleotides) under uncultured bacterium. Its description in RNAcentral is "partial 16S ribosomal RNA". It matches the Rfam family "Bacterial small subunit ribosomal RNA", at positions 29 to 507 of the family's 1533-position model. The record is from RNAcentral.
AGUGAGCGCUGGCGGUAGGCCUAACACAUGCAAGUCGAACGGCAGCACAGUAAGAGCUUGCUCUUACGGGUGGCGAGUGGCGGACGGGUGAGGAAUACAUCGGAAUCUACUUUUUCGUGGGGGAUAACGUAGGGAAACUUACGCUAAUACCGCAUACGACCUACGGGUGAAAGCAGGGGAUCUUCGGACCUUGCGCGAUUGAAUGAGCCGAUGUCGGAUUAGCUAGUUGGCGGGGUAAAGGCCCACCAAGGCGACGAUCCGUAGCUGGUCUGAGAGGAUGAUCAGCCACACUGGAACUGAGACGCGGUCCAGACUCCUACGGGAGGCAGCAGUGGGGAAUAUUGGACAAUGGGCGCAAGCCUGAUCCAGCCAUACCGCGUGGGUGAAGAAGGCCUUCGGGUUGUAAAGCCCUUUUGUUGGGAAAGAAAAGCAGCAGGUUAAUACCCCGCUGUUCUGACGGUACCCAAAGAAUAAGCACCGGCUAACUUCGUG